Molecule: ribosomal RNA, 157 nt
Filed under: uncultured bacterium
Lineage: Bacteria
Description: partial 16S ribosomal RNA
Rfam family: Bacterial small subunit ribosomal RNA
Source: RNAcentral
UAGGAAUAUUGGUCAAUGGGCGGAAGCCUGAACCAGCCAAGUCGCGUGAGGGAAUAAGGCCCUACGGGUCGUAAACCUCUUUUGCCGGGGAGCAAGGGCGGGGACGUGUCCCGGCCCGGAGAGUACCAGGAGAAAAAGCAUCGGCUAACUCCGUGCC